This 468-nucleotide ribosomal RNA is filed under the name uncultured bacterium. Its description in RNAcentral is "partial 16S ribosomal RNA". It matches the Rfam family "Bacterial small subunit ribosomal RNA", at positions 28 to 507 of the family's 1533-position model. The record is from RNAcentral.
GACGAACGCUGGCGGCGUGCUUAACACAUGCAAGUCGAACGGAAAGGCCCUGCUUUGGUGGUGUGCUCGAGUGGCGAACGGGUGAGUAACACGUGAGUAACCUGCCCUUUACUUUGGGAUAACUUCAGAAAACUGGGGCUAAUACCGGAUAGGAGCUCCUGCUGCAUGGUGUGGGUUGGAAAGUUUCGGCGGUUGGGGAUGGACUCGCGGCUUAUCAGCUUGUUGGUGGGGUAGUGGCUUACCAAGGCUUUGACGGGUAGCCGGCCUGAGAGGGUGACCGGCCACAUUGGGACUGAGAUACGGCCCAGACUCAUACGGGAGGCAGCAGUGGGGAAUAGUGCACAAUGGGCGGAAGCCUGAUGCAGCAACGCCGCGUGCGGGAUGACGGCCUUAGGGUUGUAACCCGCUUUCGCCUGUGACGAAGCGUGAGUGACGGUAAUGGGUAAAGAAGCACCGGCUAACUACGUG